UGCUGAUUUCGGCAGCACAUACACUAAAAUUAGAAUGAUACAGAGAAGAUUAGCACAGCCCCUGCGCAAGGACGACAUGGAAAUUUGUGAAGCAUUCCAUAUAACU
Macaca mulatta (Rhesus monkey) is the source of this 106-nucleotide small nuclear RNA. The record is from Ensembl. NCBI's taxonomy places the organism in Eukaryota, Metazoa, Chordata, Mammalia, Primates, Cercopithecidae.